This 909-nucleotide long non-coding RNA is filed under the name Salmo salar (Atlantic salmon). Its description in RNAcentral is "lncRNA (ENSSSAG00000107089.1)". Lineage: Eukaryota; Metazoa; Chordata; Actinopteri; Salmoniformes; Salmonidae. The record is from RNAcentral.
UGUUGUUAAAGGGGAACUGACAACAUUUUAGCAACAUUAAAUCUUAUUAAAAUCUGUUCAUAUUCACCCCCAGGAAGAAUAUGCUAUGUGUUUUUUUCUUUUUUUUUCUUCACAUUUUCUGACAAGCGAGCGCUUAGAUAUUGUCUUUUUAACAUUUUUAAUACAUUCGUAGAAUGUUUAGGGAAUUGCGUAUAUAGGAAGGCAUUUUGUGAAAAUUCUGUAGUAAUAUAUAGAGUGGGAAAGCGGCUGUGCGUUUGGACAAUUAACAGACACUGCAGUACAUAAAACCUAAUAAAAACAUCUGUCUCGUCCAGGACCGGAGUCUACGCAGAUUGGUGGGCCUUUUAGCCAAUCAGAGGUACGGUAGGACCUAUAUGCAAACAAAGCCAUUUGCCACACGGGCCUGCCAUCAUUCACUUUGAACUGGACUGUGUGUUUACAGGUAUUUGCAACAGCGAGACAUUAGAAUGCAUUCGGCAAAAGCCACAAAAUACACACCUGAAUGGAUUUCUGCAAAUAUGUAAAUACCACGGGAGAGUCCUCUUACGUUUGGGAACUUGCCAGUCCUAUUGGUCAAACAACCAUGAAAAGGUAGACUCUCUCUCUCAGUUAUACACAUCAAUAACCAUGAAAAGGUAGACUCUCUCUCUCUCAGUUAUACACAUCAACAACCAUGAAAAGGUAGACUCUCUCUCUCUCUCUCAGUUAUACACAUCAAUAACCAUGAAAAGGUAGACUCUCUCUCUCAGUUAUACACAUCAAUAACCAUGAAAAGGUAGACUCUCUCUCAGUUAUACACAUCAAUAACCAUGAAAAGGUAGACUCUCUCUCUCUCUCUCUGUUAUACACAUCAAUAACCAUGAAAAGGUAGACUCUCUCUCAGUUAUACACAUCAAUAACCAUGAAAAG